GUGGGGAAUAUUGGGCAAUGGAGGCAACUCUGACCCAGCAACGCCGCGUGAGUGAUGAAGGUCUUCGGAUUGUAAAACUCUUUAAGUGGGGACGAAGAAAGUGACUGUACCCACAGAAUAAGCCUCGGCUAACUACGUGCCAGCAGCCGCGGUAAUACGUAGGAGGCAAGCGUUAUCCGGAAUGACUGGGCGUAAAGGGUGCGUAGGUGGUUUGGCAAGUUAGUAGCGUAAUUCCGGGGCUCAACUUCGGAACUACUACUAAAACUGCUGGGCUUGAGUGCAGGAGGGGCAUAUGGAAUUCCUAGUGUAGCGGUGGAAUGCGUAGAUAUUAGGAGGAACACCAGUGGCGAAGGCGAUAUGCUGGACUGUAACUGACACUGAGGCACGAAAGCGUGGGGAGCAAACAGGA
RNAcentral lists this ribosomal RNA (409 nucleotides) under uncultured bacterium. Its description in RNAcentral is "bacterial SSU rRNA". It matches the Rfam family "Bacterial small subunit ribosomal RNA", at positions 354 to 777 of the family's 1533-position model. The record is from RNAcentral.